This 76-nucleotide microRNA precursor is filed under the name Canis lupus familiaris (dog). RNAcentral's name for it is "mir-8799 microRNA precursor family". It matches the Rfam family "mir-8799 microRNA precursor family". The record is from Rfam by way of RNAcentral. Lineage: Eukaryota; Metazoa; Chordata; Mammalia; Carnivora; Canidae.
GGGGGGAGGCCGGAUCCUGGGCUGUGUCCCGGCGCCUGCGCUGCUGGAUUCGCGCUCCCGGGCCGCGCAGCCCCCU